This 487-nucleotide long non-coding RNA is filed under the name Setaria viridis. RNAcentral describes it as "long non-coding RNA (SVIR_LNC010067)". Lineage: Eukaryota; Viridiplantae; Streptophyta; Magnoliopsida; Poales; Poaceae. The record is from RNAcentral.
GUUGAGUGGAUAAUCUGUCUGUACCCUUUGUUCGGUGUGUGUUCACUUUAUGUGCUGUGAAAAAUUAUUUUAAAAUAAAAUUGCAUCCUUCUUAUCAUGAUUUAAACUACAGCAGAAGAUGUGGUCAAUUGGCACAAUCAGCAUCUGCCCUUCAAUCUGAAGCUGUUGAAUUGCUUUACUUGGUCAUGUGAGUUUCAGGUUGUAUCCCUUCAUGUACUGCUAUUCUUGGUGACUCGGUGAAGGAAAUGUUUUCUUUGACCGACAGAUUUGGAACAAUUUGUUGUCUUUCUUUAUGUUGGCUGCAGGGUUGAAUUCAAUAUUUGUUAUCUGGUCAUUGAGAUAAAAGCAUGGUUGCUGAACUUUUCUUUAACAUAUGCACGUGCACAUCUGUAUCAUCAUUUUCUUUUAAUUUGAGUUAGUGGCCCCCCUUACGUUUUGACCUGUACAGGGUGUGGUUUUGCAAACGUGGUGGCUACUGUAAGCAUCU